This 1385-nucleotide long non-coding RNA is filed under the name Anas platyrhynchos platyrhynchos (common mallard). RNAcentral describes it as "lncRNA (ENSAPLG00000026219.1)". Lineage: Eukaryota; Metazoa; Chordata; Aves; Anseriformes; Anatidae. The record is from RNAcentral.
UCGCCGGGCGGGGAGCGGCAGCGGGGAGCGGCCUCGCGCGGGCCCGUGAGGCGGAGCGGGGCUGGGCCGGCCGGAGGCGGUGCCCAUGAGGCGGCGGGGCGGGGCGCGGCGGGGCCCGCCCGGGUCUGUCAGCGUAACGGCCCGCAGCGGCGGGGGAAGGCGCGGGGAAAGAGGCGGUCGGAGCGCGAGGCUGCGGCCCGGGGACGUCCGGGGAGGGAGGCAGCGGCUACGGGAAGGACGUGAGACCAGUAUCAAGGCAGUAUGGUUACUGCAAUUCUCUGUGAGAGUUGAAGAGAAGCACUUGCUCAAAACAGCAAAGGACCUGGUUCCAAAGGUAGCAUUCAUUAACGUUUUUUUCUUCUUCCAUUUGAUGUUGUUGGCAUGAUUAGUACUUAAUUCUAAAAUAACCGUACCAUCAGUAAGAUUUUCUGAUUUUUUUUUCUGUGAUUUUUAUAAUCCCAGAGUUAUGGUAGUUAAUCCUGUUUCAUCCCAUGUAGAAAUAGCAUUGUUCAAAAAGAUAUCUUCUGUAGUAAUAACAUCACCCAAGAAAAAUGUCUAAUUAUAAUAACCUUUCAAUGAAAUAUAAGAGCUGGAAGUAGACAUGUCCAAAUCUGCAACUGUCUAUAUGGGAUAUAUUCAUGGUUUCAUUUUCAGUAUUUAAAAUUAAAAAUUCCAUUAAGGAAUUAUUUUCUAAUGUUUACUAUCUAUGAUGUAAACUGUGUUGUGGAUGAAGACACCUUCAUUGCGUUUCGUCAUUGUCUUGACUCUGUCAGUGAUGGUGAUCUUUUGUAUUAAGAUAAUGGGACCUUCAGGCCCUUGGGCAUUAAACAAGGUGGUGGGCAGGUGGAGUAGAAGGUGAGUCCUACUCCACUCAGUGUGCCUCUGUGGGCUGGAGAAGGACGAUAUAAAACAAUACUAGAGUACUACCACCCCUUGCUGUUUUAUCAUGCCGCAAUAUUCCAUAUAAGUAUAAACCCUGCCUGAGUAAGAGCAAAAUCUGCGUAUCUUGUGAUGAGACUGUGUUAAUUUUAUCUACAUGCAGUUGCUGAAACCAUAACACGUGAUGCCAAAGAUUUUUCUCAUAUGCUGUAAACAUGUUCUGCUCUGCUGUGCCAAAACAUUUUGUCACAAAAACUAGCUCUUUUAGAGAUUCUAAAAACAAACAAGAAAAAAACUGUUCAUUAUGUGAUUUAUUGGGGAUUGUCUUGUUCUUAGAUUUUAAGAAUUAAAAACAAGAGGAAGGUGAGAAUGUAAAAAAAAAAAAAAAAAGACAUAAGUGGAAUCAUGAGGGAAAAUUUAAGUAGAAAAGAAAGUAGAAGAGAACAUGUAAUAAGAAAACAGAAUGGAUUUAUAGCUUGACAGCAACCCUGAUGGAUGACUACUGU